This 613-nucleotide ribosomal RNA is filed under the name uncultured bacterium. Its description in RNAcentral is "bacterial SSU rRNA". It matches the Rfam family "Bacterial small subunit ribosomal RNA", at positions 9 to 618 of the family's 1533-position model. The record is from RNAcentral.
GAGUUUGAUCAUGGCUCAGGAUGAACGCUAGCGGCAGGCCUAACACAUGCAAGUCGAGGGGUAACAGAGAAGCUUGCUUCUGCUGACGACCGGCGCACGGGUGCGUAACGCGUAUGCAACCUACCUCAUACUGGAGAAUAGCCCUUGGAAACGAGGAUUAAUACUCCAUAGUAUCAUUCUUUCGCAUGUUAGAAUGAUUAAAGAAUUUCGGUAUGAGAUGGGCAUGCGUCCCAUUAGCUAGUUGGUGAGGUAACGGCUCACCAAGGCGACGAUGGGUAGGGGGCCUGAGAGGGUGGUCCCCCACACUGGUACUGAGACACGGACCAGACUCCUACGGGAGGCAGCAGUGAGGAAUAUUGGUCAAUGGAGGCAACUCUGAACCAGCCAUGCCGCGUGAAGGAUGACGGCCCUAUGGGUUGUAAACUUCUUUUAUAUGGGAAGAAACUUAUCUACGUGUAGAUAACUGACGGUACCAUACGAAUAAGGAUCGGCUAACUCCGUGCCAGCAGCCGCGGUAAUACGGAGGAUCCAAGCGUUAUCCGGAUUCAUUGGGUUUAAAGGGUCCGUAGGCGGAUUUUUAAGUCAGUGGUGAAAGCCGGCAGCUUAACUGUCG